UACGAGGGGGGCAAGCGCUAUCCGGAUUCACUGGGUUUAAAGGGUGUGUAGGCGGGCUAUUAAGUCAGUGGUGAAAUCUCCGGGCUCAACCCGGAAACUGCCAUUGAUACUAUUAGUCUUGAAUAUUGUUGAGGUAGGCGGAAUAUAUCAUGUAGCGGUGAAAUGCAUAGAUAUGAUAUAGAACACCGAUUGCGAAGGCAGCUUACUAAACAAUUAUUGACGCUGAGGCACGAAAGCGUGGGGAUCAAACAGG
This 253-nucleotide ribosomal RNA is filed under the name uncultured bacterium. RNAcentral describes it as "partial 16S ribosomal RNA". It matches the Rfam family "Bacterial small subunit ribosomal RNA", at positions 524 to 776 of the family's 1533-position model. The record is from RNAcentral.